AGAGUUUGAUCCUGGCUCAGGAUGAACGCUGGCGGCGUGCCUAAUACAUGCAAGUCGAACGAGUUCUCGUUGAUGAUCGGUGCUUGCACCGAGAUUCAACAUGGAACGAGUGGCGGACGGGUGAGUAACACGUGGGUAACCUGCCCUUAAGUGGGGGAUAACAUUUGGAAACAGAUGCUAAUACCGCAUAGAUCCAAGAACCGCAUGGUUCUUGGCUGAAAGAUGGCGUAAGCUAUCGCUUUUGGAUGGACCCGCGGCGUAUUAGCUAGUUGGUGAGGUAAUGGCUCACCAAGGCGAUGAUACGUAGCCGAACUGAGAGGUUGAUCGGCCACAUUGGGACUGAGACACGGCCCAAACUCCUACGGGAGGCAGCAGUAGGGAAUCUUCCACAAUGGACGCAAGUCUGAUGGAGCAACGCCGCGUGAGUGAAGAAGGCUUUCGGGUCGUAAAACUCUGUUGUUGGAGAAGAAUGGUCGGCAGAGUAACUGUUGUCGGCGUGACGGUAUCCAACCAGAAAGCCACGGCUAACUACGUGCCAGCAGCCGCGGUAAUACGUAGGUGGCAAGCGUUAUCCGGAUUUAUUGGGCGUAAAGCGAGCGCAGGCGGUUUUUUAAGUCUGAUGUGAAAGCCCUCGGCUUAACCGAGGAAGCGCAUCGGAAACUGGGAAACUUGAGUGCAGAAGAGGACAGUGGAACUCCAUGUGUAGCGGUGAAAAAUGCGUAGAUAUAUGGAAGAACACCAGUGGCGAAGGCGGCUGUCUGGUCUGUAACUGACGCUGAGGCUCGAAAGCAUGGGUAGCGAACAGGAUUAGAUACCCUGGUAGUCCAUGCCGUAAACGAUGAAUGCUAGGUGUUGGAGGGUUUCCGCCCUUCAGUGCCGCAGCUAACGCAUUAAGCAUUCCGCCUGGGGAGUACGACCGCAAGGUUGAAACUCAAAGGAAUUGACGGGGGCCCGCACAAGCGGUGGAGCAUGUGGUUUAAUUCGAAGCAACGCGAAGAACCUUACCAGGUCUUGACAUCUUUUGAUCACCUGAGAGAUCAGGUUUCCCCUUCGGGGGCAAAAUGACAGGUGGUGCAUGGUUGUCGUCAGCUCGUGUCGUGAGAUGUUGGGUUAAGUCCCGCAACGAGCGCAACCCUUAUGACUAGUUGCCAGCAUUUAGUUGGGCACUCUAGUAAGACUGCCGGUGACAAACCGGAGGAAGGUGGGGAUGACGUCAAAUCAUCAUGCCCCUUAUGACCUGGGCUACACACGUGCUACAAUGGAUGGUACAACGAGUUGCGAGACCGCGAGGUCAAGCUAAUCUCUUAAAGCCAUUCUCAGUUCGGACUGUAGGCUGCAACUCGCCUACACGAAGUCGGAAUCGCUAGUAAUCGCGGAUCAGCACGCCGCGGUGAAUACGUUCCCGGGCCUUGUACACACCGCCCGUCACACCAUGAGAGUUUGUAACACCCGAAGCCGGUGGCGUAACCCUUUUAGGGAGCGAGCCGUCUAAGGUGGGACAAAUGAUUAGGGUGAAGUCGUAACAAGGUAGCC
RNAcentral lists this ribosomal RNA (1533 nucleotides) under Lacticaseibacillus paracasei. RNAcentral describes it as "bacterial SSU rRNA". It matches the Rfam family "Bacterial small subunit ribosomal RNA". The record is from RNAcentral. Lineage: Bacteria; Bacillati; Bacillota; Bacilli; Lactobacillales; Lactobacillaceae.